RNAcentral lists this long non-coding RNA (2356 nucleotides) under Sus scrofa (pig). The record is from RNAcentral. Lineage: Eukaryota; Metazoa; Chordata; Mammalia; Artiodactyla; Suidae.
ACUGACACUCUGGAGAAGGUCUGCCUCUGUGUGCGCUGCCCCGGUUGCAUGUGAGCAGAUGAAUUCCACAGCUGGAACUGAGGCACAGAGCAAUAAACACAGUGGAGCCCAUCUCUGCCGUGGUGAGAGGGGGCAUCAGAAGUGACAACAAUGACAAGGACCCAAGGACCGUCCUUCUGACAAGUUUCAGGAAAAAGGGGUUCCAUAAGAAGUGGCAUCCUCCUCCAGUUGAAAGAUUCUUGGGCUGAUGGAGUAAGUGAGUGACGGAGUGGGUUGCCAACUGUAGUUACUCCACUCAAUGCGGAAUGGCUGCAGGGAAUAUAUUCUGAUGUGCCCAAAGAAGUCUGCCCAGGGUGAAACAAAUACCUUUGAGGUUUAAAUCAGAAAACAUAAACACAUUUCCCUUAUAGGAAGAAGUUGUAUUUAAAAGCCUCUGUUUAAUUUAUUCAGAAACUACACGAUUUUUGUUGCUAUAUUUUGUUAUAAAGGAAGAGAGGCUGUUUCUACAGGUGUCAUAGAAAAGUCGAUGCUGAGCCAUGGAUUAUUGGAUCUCAUAGAACCACGGAGACUUGGCAGUAAAAUCCUUCCAAAGGCAGACGGUGUUCCUAGGUUUGGAAACGUACCUCCCAGGGGAAGUGAGCUGAGGAACAUUUUAUGCAUCAUUCAUCCGGUUAUGAGCCCUUGCUGCUCCAUCUCUGCACAAGAUGUUGAAACAACAGCAACAACAAAAAUUGUUUAUAAUGUGUAUUCUAACUUUGGAUCAUCUGGUUAACGCCCUGAUGCUAUUACCCAGAAAGACAAUGCUCUGUCAGAAAAAACCAUUAAAGCUCGCUGCUGCGUGAUUAGUAAAAUAAUAGGGAAAGUUCAGCAUUCUGGAUGUCCCAUCUAAUGAGUUGGCAGUUACAGAACAGAAACAGAGCAAUAAGACCGCAUGGUUACAUUUUCCCAGUGCCACCAACUGGGAGUUAAGCUGACUAACAUUUCGAAAGCCCAGCCCAUUUCAUUCACAGCAGGCAUGGCAGAGCUGCAGUUGACCGUCUAAUGGUGUUUGGAAUUGAUGAUGAUGACUGUGCUGCUGCUGUUGAUUAGAGCACCAUUAUCCAGUGCUCCCAAGUCAUGGCUUUUGUGUCUAGGACCUCAGGCUCUGCUGCUUCCCGGUGAUUCCAUUGCCUCUGCAGCAAUAACAGAUCAUUUAUUAGACACCUACUAUGUGCUAAACAACUGAUAUGUAUUCUUGAAUCACAACAGCAUUCUAAGCGGUUGACUGAUUGUACCUGCCAGCUGGCUAAUAUCAUAAUUAACAAAGUUGCUACUACGUGUGCAAAGUUUAAUCGAAAAAUUUGCCAGUGCUAUGAUGGCAUUGUCACAAAGAUCACAAGGGACUCGGAGUCGACUUUUGCUCAAGGUGGAACGGCAAAGCUGUGUAGGCAAAAUGAGAAAUCUUGAACUUGUUCAGCCAAAGGUUAUGCUUCAUAUCACCCACCAGGGAGGAUCAUCUCUCAUGAAAACUUUCAAAUUUGAUUUUGAAAAUUAUUCAGAAAAAUUUAAGCCAUGCUCUCUCCCAAUGUAGGAAAGAAAAUACUCUGGAGAUUCCUAUAAUUCAAAGAAAAUGGACUGGAGUAACAUCUGAGUUCUCAUGCAGCCAGAAUCCUCUUGAGAAGAACAGCCAGGAGGCUAAUAAUGGAGGGGCCAGAGAAGGAGGCCAGUGCUCCGAGGGUUAUCUCACAGCCUCAGAUGCUGGAUAAGCCGAAGGAGGCAGAAUCGCUUCUGGAUGACAUUCAGAAAGGCCGGAGUGAUUAUUGGAAGAGAAAAGCCUGCCUAUUCUUUUCCAAGCUGAUGAAUGAUUAGCCACCUGCCUCAGACAAAGGAUGCCCUGGGAGCCUCCCCACACCUACGGCCGCUUUGAAGGCUCUGCCAAGCUCACUUUUAAUCACGAGAAAGGAAUUACCCACAUGGAGUCAGCAGAAAAUGAGAAAGUAGAGCUCGUGCUGCGAAUCAUUCCAGCAAGUGCCAAGGGGCUAGUUGAGGAAUGGCUUCAACGAGAUGUUAGUCUAAAACCAGCCCCUUCAAGAGAGAAAAUACUAGAAAAUGCCUAAUAAAAUACAAGCAAGCAACUAAAAAAAAAAUGCCUAGUUGCCUCCUUUCCAUAUGUGGCUGACAUCCGUCAGUUGGAUCAAUAGUUUAAUUCUUUUCCCUUGAACUGUUUUAAUGAUGAUUGACCUAUUUUCACUUCUGCUGUUUUCUGUAUGUUUAUUUUUGCUUGACUGUUUUAAUAUUGACUAUUGAUCUCUACUCAUUUUUACUGGUUUUCUGUAAUUUUUUUUUCAAUGAGAAUUCCAAUAAAACUUACUCUGUU